Molecule: long non-coding RNA, 1495 nt
Organism: Mercenaria mercenaria
Lineage: Eukaryota; Metazoa; Mollusca; Bivalvia; Venerida; Veneridae
Exons: 3
Source: RefSeq, a predicted model, not a curated record
CUAAAAUGAAUUUACAUGCUUUUUAAUCACUUUCAUAUCGAAGACGCGUUAAAAUAUAGUUAUUGAGUGUUUUAUAAAAAAAAACAAAUGCAGUUUACCAGGUUAAUGUUCUUUACAUUAUUAUUAUUAACGUGGUGUUUAAUAACAUCAAAGAAACUUCAAAGUUGAUAAAACAAUCAGAAACAGGAGACAUAUAUCAUCUGCUUUGUCAAAAAUAUUUACCUAACGCUUUAAUUCAAACGAAUAAUUAUGGAAAAUAAAGAUAAAUCUGUCAAUGUACCGUAUCAGGGAUUGAAAGACAAAAAUGCAAGUAUAAAGCAUGUGUAUGUGCUCCGAUGGUAUGUGAUUGCAGUAGUAUCGCUUGCGAAUAUCUUGAAUGUCUUCCUAUGGGCUACAUGGGGCCCAAUUUCACAGUCAGCAUACCUCGUCUAUUCAUGAACAGAUAAUCAAUUGUUUUGGAUUGUAAACAUAGGAAAUAUAACAGCAUUUCUUUCCGUUUUCUUUGGCGUGUAUCUUGUUGAUUGCAAAGAUUAAUCGCCAUUGGUCAAGGUUUAAAUGGUAUAGCAAACAGCAUAACAGUGUGUACUCCAACAGUUGUUUCUCAAACUUGGUUCCGGGCUACAGAAAGGACCACAGCCACAGCCGUAUCAACUCUCGCGUUUGCUUUAGGUGCAGCCGCAGCUUUCUUGUUUGGUCCAUUGACAGUUUCGAUGCCUAAAGUGUAUGUUUUUUUCUUUGUCGAGUGCGUCUGCGCAUACAUGCGCGCUAACCGCUGAUACAAUGGUAUAUUCAAGCCCUCAGUGUAUAACUUUAUAAUUGUAAUAUAUUGCAACUACAUACAUAUACCAAAUAAUAAUUAUUUUUGUAGAUAACAUGGCAUUUAAUCAUGUUAUAAUUAAUUAAUUUGAGUAAAACUCGGACUCAUUAUUGUUAAUUUUUCUGGUCCUUUUGGAUCAUGCAGUUUUGUUCUUGUUUUUUAUUUGUUGGGUUUAACGUCGCACCAACACAAAUAUAGGUCAUAUGGCGACUUUCCAGCUUUGAUGAUGGAGGAAGACCACAGGUGCCAUUCCGUGCAUUAUUUCAUCACGAGCGGGCACCUGGGUAGAAACACCGACCUUCCGUAAGUCAGCUGGAUGGUUUCCUCACAUGAAGAAUUCAACGCCUCGAGUGAGGCUCGAACCCACAUCGAUGAGGGGCAAGUGAUUUCAAGUCAGCGACCUUAACCACUCUGCCACGGAGGCCCCCCCGGAUCGUGCAGUAUUUCUAAUUAAUGCGUGUGAUACAGUUCCGCUUAAGCUGGUGCUAGGGGGCAUGUGGGGUAAUGCACAAUUCAUUAGACUUAAUCAAACUGACCUUUUGUUAUACUCAUCUGACCGGUUGGUCGGCCAGUCGUGCGUUGUUGCCAUUUGUAGCGCGAACUGCUUCCUCAGUUUUAAAGGGAUUCCAAUGAAAUGCCAUACGUAUGAUAACCAUGAAGUGUAAAUGUACGAGACAU